GGAACAUCUUGUCGGUUGAUGAGCUGACCGAGCUGGCCACCAAAAACCCAAAUCUAGCGAGGGCUUUAAUCAAGAAAUUUGUAGAUCUUAAUGACGAUGAUUUCAUAUCAACAGAGGAAAUAUUCAAACCAGAGUUGGAGGACUGAUUUUUAUGUUGGAUGGGGGCGUUGUCACCCUUUACAAGCAUGGCGUCCGUUCAUUUUGUCGGCUCCAAAAAAUUUUAUAUUCUUUUGAUUUUCAGUUUAAAAGGAUAAGAUUUGGAUAAUCCCCAAUGUGUUGUAGAUCCUCCCAAAAAUUUUUGAUGACGCUGGUUUUUGUGAGUGUGUAGGCUGUGUGAUUCGCUCGGCUUGGUAAAAAAAAAUAACUGGUUGUGUGGUCAGAUGGACUUAAAGUUAAGUCAGAAAAUAAAAUCCAGAAAUCAUUGAAGUCAAUAUCAUUGUUUAACUCGUAACUUAUUAUCAUAUUAAAAUACGUCAAACUUUGUAACGAAAGAAAGACUUAAGUGUCUUUCAAAAUAAGCUUUGUGUCUAAAGUACUUUUAAAAAUGAAGAAAUUGAAAAUGAACUCUGUUAAAAAUAUAUUUGUUGGUAAUAAAUUAAAUGACGUCAUGAAUAGAGGGAGGUUUUCGCCCCUGAAUGAAACAAAUAAAUCUAUUUAUAUCGCUAAA
Physella acuta is the source of this 667-nucleotide long non-coding RNA. RefSeq lists it as uncharacterized. NCBI's taxonomy places the organism in Eukaryota, Metazoa, Mollusca, Gastropoda, Physidae. The record is from RefSeq and is a predicted model, not a curated record.